UAGCGUAUAUUAAAGUUGUUGCAGUUAAAACGCUCGUAGUCGGAUUUCGGGGCGGGCCGACCGGUCUGCCGAUGGGUAUGCACUGGCCGGCGCGUCCUUUUCUCCGGAGACCGCGCCUCCUCUUAGCUGAGCGGGUGCGGGAGACGGAUCGUUUACUUUGAAAAAAUCAGAGUGUUUCAAGCAGGCAGCUCGCUCUUGCAUGGAUUAGCAUGGGAUAAUGAAAUAGGACUUUGGUGCUAUUUUGUUGGUUUCGAACACCGAAGUAAUGAUUAACAGGGACAGUCAGGGGCACUCGUAUUCCGCCGAGAGAGGUGAAAUUCUCAGACCAGCGGAAGACGAACCACUGCGAAAGCAUUUG
RNAcentral lists this ribosomal RNA (358 nucleotides) under Haptophyta environmental samples. RNAcentral's name for it is "SSU rRNA". It matches the Rfam family "Eukaryotic small subunit ribosomal RNA", at positions 595 to 957 of the family's 1831-position model. Lineage: Eukaryota; Haptophyta. The record is from RNAcentral.